AAUGGGAUAGUUGGGUGAUAUGGUGUUUCCAUUCCUAGUUUUUUGAAGAAUCUCCAUACUGCUUUCCAAAGUGAUUGUACUAGUCUGCAGUCCCACCAACAAU
Molecule: microRNA precursor, 103 nt
Filed under: Marmota monax (woodchuck)
Lineage: Eukaryota; Metazoa; Chordata; Mammalia; Rodentia; Sciuridae
Source: RNAcentral